RNAcentral lists this ribosomal RNA (301 nucleotides) under uncultured bacterium. RNAcentral describes it as "partial 16S ribosomal RNA". It matches the Rfam family "Bacterial small subunit ribosomal RNA", at positions 509 to 807 of the family's 1533-position model. The record is from RNAcentral.
CAGCAGCCACGGUAAUACAGAGGGUGUGAGCGUUAAUCGGAUUUACUGGGCGUAAAGCGUGCGUAGGCGGCUUCUUAAGUCGGAUGUGAAAUCCCUGAGCUUAACUUAGGAAUUGCAUUCGAUACUGGGAAGCUAGAGUAUGGGAGAGGAUGGUAGAAUUCCAGGUGUAGCGGUGAAAUGCGUAGAGAUCUGGAGGAAUACCGAUGGCGAAGGCAGCCAUCUGGCCUAAUACUGACGCUGAGGUACGAAAGCAUGGGGAGCAAACAGGAUUAGAGACCCCAGUAGUCCCUGUCUCUUAUAC